Molecule: ribosomal RNA, 757 nt
Filed under: Escherichia coli
Lineage: Bacteria; Pseudomonadati; Pseudomonadota; Gammaproteobacteria; Enterobacterales; Enterobacteriaceae
Description: partial 23S ribosomal RNA
Rfam family: Bacterial large subunit ribosomal RNA
Source: RNAcentral
CCCCGUGAACCUUUACUAUAGCUUGACACUGAACAUUGAGCCUUGAUGUGUAGGAUAGGUGGGAGGCUUUGAAGUGUGGACGCCAGUCUGCAUGGAGCCGGCCUUGAAAUACCACCCUUUAAUGUUUGAUGUUCUAACGUUGGCCCCUGAUCGGGGUUGCGGACAGUGUCUGGUGGGUAGUUUGACUGGGGCGGUCUCCUCCUAAAGAGUAACGGAGGAGCACGAAGGUUGGCUAAUCCUGGUCGGACAUCAGGAGGUUAGUGCAAUGGCAUAAGCCAGCUUGACUGCGAGCGUGACGGCGCGAGCAGGUGCGAAAGCAGGUCAUAGUGAUCCGGUGGUUCUGAAUGGAAGGGCCAUCGCUCAACGGAUAAAAGGUACUCCGGGGAUAACAGGCUGAUACCGCCCAAGAGUUCAUAUCGACGGCGGUGUUUGGCACCUCGAUGUCGGCUCAUCACAUCCUGGGGCUGAAGUAGGUCCCAAGGGUAUGGCUGUUCGCCAUUUAAAGUGGUACGCGAGCUGGGUUUAGAACGUCGUGAGACAGUUCGGUCCCUAUCUGCCGUGGGCGCUGGAGAACUGAGGGGGGCUGCUCCUAGUACGAGAGGACCGGAGUGGACGCAUCACUGGUGUUCGGGUUGUCAUGCCAAUGGCACUGCCCGGUAGCUAAAUGCGGAAGAGAUAAGUGCUGAAAGCAUCUAAGCACGAAACUUGCCCCGAGAUGAGUUCUCCCUGACUCCUUGAGAGUCCUGAAGGAACGUUG